AAUAUCUUAACUUAUUUAUGCUCCAAUGGUUAAGAAGCAAAAAAUUCUUAAGGGAAAAAAUUUAAAUUAUUUAUGUUCUAAUGGUUUUUUUUUCUUUCCUUUUGUUUAUUUGUGUACCCAAUAAAUACACCGCACAUGUCCAAUUCUUAAACUUAAGAAAAUAUAUUAGUUAAGAUAUAAAUCUUAGCUAAUCUUAACUGUUUUUAUU
This 208-nucleotide small RNA is filed under the name Arabidopsis thaliana (thale cress). RNAcentral's name for it is "ATSL254880". Lineage: Eukaryota; Viridiplantae; Streptophyta; Magnoliopsida; Brassicales; Brassicaceae. The record is from RNAcentral.